CGGAGAGCAGAGAGGGAGCGCGCCUUGGCUCGCUGGCCUUGGCUGCGGCUCCUCGGGAGAGCUGGGGCGCCCACGAGAGGAUCCCUCACCUGGGUCUCUCCUCAGGGAUGACAUCAUCCGUCCACCUCCUUGUCUUCAAGGACCACCUCCUCUCCAUGCUGAGCUGCUGCCAAGGGGCCUGCUGCCCAUCUACACCUCACGAGGGCACUAGGAGCACGGAUUCCUGGAUCCCACCAACAUACAAAGCAGCCACUCACUGACCCCCAGGACCAGGAUGGCAAAGGAUGAAGAGGACCGGAACUGACCAGCCAGCUGUCCCUCUUACCUAAAGACUUAAACCAAUGCCCUAGUGAGGGGGCAUUGGGCAUUAAGCCCUGACCUUUGCUAUGCUCAUACUUUGACUCUAUGAGUACUUUCCUAUAAGUCUUUGCUUGUGUUCACCUGCUAGCAAACUGGAGUGUUUCCCUCCCCAAGGGGGUGUCAGUCUUUGUCGACUGACUCUGUCAUCACCCUUAUGAUGUCCUGAAUGGAAGGAUCCCUUUGGGAAAUUCUCAGGAGGGGGACCUGGGCCAAGGGCUUGGCCAGCAUCCUGCUGGCAACUCCAAGGCCCUGGGUGGGCUUCUGGAAUGAGCAUGCUACUGAAUCACCAAAGGCACGCCCCACCUCUCUGAAGAUCUUCCUAUCCUUUUCUGGGGAAUGGGGUCGAUGAGAGCAACCUCCUAGGGUUGUUGUGAGAAUUAAAUGAGAUAAAAGAGGCCUCAGGCAGGAUCUGGCAUAGAGGAGGUGAUCAGCAAAUGUUUGUUGAAAAGGUUUGACAGGUCAGUCCCUUCCCACCCCUCUUGCUUGUCUUACUUGUCUUAUUUAUUCUCCAACAGCACUCCAGGCAGCCCUUGUCCACGGGCUCUCCUUGCAUCAGCCAAGCUUCUUGAAAGGCCUGUCUACACUUGCUGUCUUCCUUCCUCACCUCCAAUUUCCUCUUCAACCCACUGCUUCCUGACUCGCUCUACUCCGUGGAAGCACGCUCACAAAGGCACGUGGGCCGUGGCCCGGCUGGGUCGGCUGAAGAACUGCGGAUGGAAGCUGCGGAAGAGGCCCUGAUGGGGCCCACCAUCCCGGACCCAAGUCUUCUUCCUGGCGGGCCUCUCGUCUCCUUCCUGGUUUGGGCGGAAGCCAUCACCUGGAUGCCUACGUGGGAAGGGACCUCGAAUGUGGGACCCCAGCCCCUCUCCAGCUCGAAAUCCCUCCACAGCCACGGGGACGCCCUGCACCUAUUCCCACGGGACAGGCUGGACCCAGAGACUCUGGACCCGGGGCCUCCCCUUGAGUAGAGACCCGCCCUCUGACUGAUGGACGCCGCUGACCUGGGGUCAGACCCGUGGGCUGGACCCCUGCCCACCCCGCAGGAACCCUGAGGCCUAGGGGAGCUGUUGAGCCUUCGGUGUCUGCAUGUGGGAAGUGGGCUCCUUCACCUACCUCACAGGGCUGUUGUGAGGGGCGCUGUGAUGCGGUUCCAAAGCACAGGGCUUGGCGCACCCCACUGUGCUCUCAAUAAAUGUGUUUCCUGUCUUAACAAAAACUGAU
RNAcentral lists this long non-coding RNA (1581 nucleotides) under Pan troglodytes (chimpanzee). RNAcentral describes it as "lincRNA". The stretch from base 518 to 622 matches the Rfam family "Maternally expressed 3 conserved region 2". Lineage: Eukaryota; Metazoa; Chordata; Mammalia; Primates; Hominidae. The record is from RNAcentral.